UACGAAGGGGGCUAGCGUUGUUCGGAAUUACUGGGCGUAAAGCGCACGCAGGCGGUGGUCAUAGUCAGAAGUGAAAGCCCUGGGCUCAACCCGGGAAUUGCUUUUGAUACUGGACCGCUAGAAUCACGGAGAGGGUAGUGGAAUUCCGAGUGUAGAGGUGAAAUUCGUAGAUAUUCGGAAGAACACCAGUGGCGAAGGCGACUACCUGGCCGUCGAUUGACGCUCAUGUGCGAAAGCGUGGGGAGCAAAC
Molecule: ribosomal RNA, 250 nt
Filed under: uncultured bacterium
Lineage: Bacteria
Description: partial 16S ribosomal RNA
Rfam family: Bacterial small subunit ribosomal RNA
Source: RNAcentral